UCUAUUAUGGCAGAUAAAGUGCAAUGAAUUUAAGCUUCAUAUAUGAGUUAUUAACUCUUUUAGAA
RNAcentral lists this transfer RNA (65 nucleotides) under Labidura japonica. RNAcentral describes it as "tRNA-Leu". Lineage: Eukaryota; Metazoa; Arthropoda; Insecta; Dermaptera; Labiduridae. The record is from RNAcentral.